This 534-nucleotide long non-coding RNA is filed under the name Selaginella moellendorffii. Its description in RNAcentral is "long non-coding RNA (SMOE_LNC000409)". The record is from RNAcentral. Lineage: Eukaryota; Viridiplantae; Streptophyta; Lycopodiopsida; Selaginellales; Selaginellaceae.
CGGCGGCGGCGGCGUGAGAAAGAACAGCAUGGCGGAGGAGAGAUCCCGCUGAAUCCACUGCUCGACCUCGGCCAUUCCAAAUCGCUGGAGCUCCAGGACGUCCCUAGAUUUCGUUCAGCGUCUGGCAAGGAUCUCCGUCUCCUCCUGGUGCUCGUAAGAACCAUAGCGCUCAUGUCUUCGUGCGCCCCAAAGGGACUCUUCGGCUUCGUGGAGCUUCCAGGCUUGCGAGAAGCAGCCCCGGCUCGCGAAUUCGGCCAGCAUCCAGAUGCCUACCAGUCGCCUCGCAGACGAAUUUCAUGGUCGUGCAGGACAAGCGGUUGAGGGAUCCUCAUCAGCAUGAAGAUCAUCAAGCUCCAGGCGUGGAGCACCGGGAGGAGGAGCUGGGAUCCCAAGCUACACUUUCUCGGUGAUCAUCGAGGUGGGUUCUUGUGUUUCUGUCCUUUAGAUUUCUAAGGACAGUAAGAUAGUCGAAUCGAUUCGAUGGCCGCGGCCUCGAGCAAGCGAGCGCCCGCAAGGAUUGUAUCGCAUUUCAAU